UGGACUUCUCCUUCGUCCACUUCUUCUUCAUCCGCACCGGCUCUUCGUCUUUUUCGUGAGACGUCGAUGGCGCCUCCGGUUGGAAGCACCCACUCCCGGUGGGAUUGCAGCCGCUUCGGAUGGAGGUUUCGGGAUCCCAGAUCUUCAGCUCCUCGGAGUCUCCACCUCUUCUUUACUUUCUUUACACCCUAAUUCCCCUCUGGGAAUUCCUUGUAAUCACACGAGCACGCCAUUGUAACCAGAAAUUAUUGAAAUGAAAAGUGUUAUACAUUUUUGAACUGUCUUUCUGGCAUUGUCGUUCUACUGGUAAUACAUCCGCAGGUUAGCGGAAUU
RNAcentral lists this long non-coding RNA (333 nucleotides) under Phoenix dactylifera (date palm). RNAcentral describes it as "long non-coding RNA (PDAC_LNC020284)". The record is from RNAcentral. Lineage: Eukaryota; Viridiplantae; Streptophyta; Magnoliopsida; Arecales; Arecaceae.